GGAGGUGCUGGGCGGAGACGAUCGCAGACCCGGUCAGGUCCGGAAGGAAGCAGCCGCGGCGGUAGGAUUUGGGUCAGCACCGACCGC
This 87-nucleotide signal recognition particle RNA is filed under the name Holosporales bacterium. Its description in RNAcentral is "signal recognition particle sRNA small type". It matches the Rfam family "Bacterial small signal recognition particle RNA". Rfam says of the family: The signal recognition particle (SRP) is a universally conserved ribonucleoprotein involved in the co-translational targeting of proteins to membranes. Archaeal SRP consists of a 7S RNA and homologues of the eukaryotic SRP19 and SRP54 proteins. In most bacteria, the SRP consists of a 4.5S RNA and the Ffh protein (a homologue of the eukaryotic SRP54 protein). The record is from RNAcentral. Lineage: Bacteria; Pseudomonadati; Pseudomonadota; Alphaproteobacteria; Holosporales.